This 72-nucleotide transfer RNA is filed under the name archaeon. Its description in RNAcentral is "tRNA-Val". It matches the Rfam family "tRNA". From Rfam's summary of the family: Transfer RNA (tRNA) molecules are approximately 80 nucleotides in length. Their secondary structure includes four short double-helical elements and three loops (D, anti-codon, and T loops). Further hydrogen bonds mediate the characteristic L-shaped molecular structure. tRNAs have two regions of fundamental functional importance: the anti-codon, which is responsible for specific mRNA codon recognition, and the 3' end, to which the tRNAs corresponding amino acid is attached (by aminoacyl-tRNA synthetases). tRNAs cope with the degeneracy of the genetic code in two manners: having more than one tRNA (with a specific anti-codon) for a particular amino acid; and 'wobble' base-pairing, i.e. permitting non-standard base-pairing at the 3rd anti-codon position. The record is from RNAcentral.
GGGCCUGUGGUCUAGUGGUUAGGACGCGGCCUUGACAUGGCCGUAGCAGCAGUUCGAUUCUGCUCAGGCCCA